UUGAACAAUAAAUUAGAGACCCUACUGCCAUCUAAACUAAUUACUAUGGGCAAUAAUCAGCAUUAUUCAAGAAAAAUAUAAACAAGUAUUUAUUCUACACGACUAUAUAUAGGGCGUAAAGGGGGAGAAGAGGCCCACAGAAAUGCUCUUUGUCUGUAGAUGGAUUUGAAAUGGCAUAAUUGAGCCUUAUCCAAGAAUAUAAUAUAUUCCAUUACCAAAUAAAUUCAAGAAUUUUGCUUGCUUUAAGAUAAUAUUGGGGACUCAUUGUUCAAUGCUUAAUUUAUUAGAUAGACGUUAUUUACUCAAAUAGAGUUUUUAACAAAUAUAAUCAUGUCUAUUCACUAUGUUAAAAUUUGGAUUAUUGAUUUAAAAAUAAUUUUUAAAAUAGAUGAAUGUGUGUUGUCAAAUCUGUAUUGUUGAUCAAGAUUGUGAAAAAUAUUAUACAAAUAACAUGAUUGAAGAUAUAUAGUGAAUAUUCAUGAUUAUAAUAAUUAAACCUUCCUCAUAGAGUAAACCCUAAUUGGAUUGAUAGAUUAACAUAGUGAACAGUCAUGAUUAUAAUAAAUAAAAACCACCUCAUAAAGUAAACCCUAAUUGGAUUAAGAGAGUAAUAUAUUCAUCAAUCGAUAACAUUGCCUGUUUGAUAGAGAUUCUUUAAAAUUUUAAUUUUUUUCAAACUCAUUUUUGAUUAUUCAUUUUUUUCAAUAAAACAAUUUUACUAUGAACUCCUGACUUUUCUUUACUUUUUUAGCAACACGUUCUUUAAAAAAAAUCAAUUUUCACAAAUUUAUCAUCCAAUUUUUAUUUUUUAUUUUUUAUUUUUUUAUCUCUCUCUCUCUCUCUAGGGUUGUAUCCGCCGACUGAAGAAGACAAAAGACAGGGUCAAGCCCAAAAUCAUACAAAGCACUAUGACGGACAAAAUAAAGAUAAUUCAUUAUUGAAUUUCAACCUUACACUGUGAAUGAGACUCGAAUAAUCUAAGUCAAUAACUAUAUUAAAGCUUUUCUUUUCAUGGUAUGAGUAAUGAAAAAAGAAGCAAAAAUUAUAGAGGGAUGUAAUUUGUAAACAAAUAUCUAACUAUUUAACUUAUAACUUUCCGUGCAAGUUUGAUUAAUUUUUUUAUAGAAAUCUUGACACAUCUAUAAUUUUUAUAAUGUGCAAGGACAAAAGUUGAAUUUAAUUUCUUUGCUGGUUUGAUACUUAUAAACCACUUCAUUUAAUAAUUAUACUUUACAGAGAAAGCGUAUUAUUUUAAUCAAACUUGAGCCUUCAAUUCAAAUCAUAGUACAAGUUUGACCCAAAUUUGCAAACAAAGGAGAAUUCACUGUUUUGGGCUUUAUAAUAUGAUUUGAGAACAGUGUGUUUGAAUUAAUAGCUUAGUAGUUUUGAGCAUGUUAGCUGCCGCUUAGAAGUUUUCUAGAAUGUAAGACCUAUUUUCUAAAGUAGUAGUUUUGUUAGCCAAAAACGUGUUUUGAAUAAAUAAUAUUUCUCAAAAUAAGUAACGUAAGAGACUACGAGUACAAUCAUAUGUGUUCUUUAGAUUUAGAAUAAAUAAUAGAAAAAUAAAUUUCACAAGAAAAUAAACUUGAGUAUCAAAAAACGAUAAGGG
RNAcentral lists this long non-coding RNA (1609 nucleotides) under Olea europaea (common olive). Its description in RNAcentral is "long non-coding RNA (OEUR_LNC009379)". Lineage: Eukaryota; Viridiplantae; Streptophyta; Magnoliopsida; Lamiales; Oleaceae. The record is from RNAcentral.